GACGAACGCUGGCGGCGUGCCUAAUACAUGCAAGUAGAACGCACAGUUUAUACCGUAGCUUGCUACACCAUAGACUGUGAGUUGCGAACGGUUGAGUAACGCGUAGGUAACCUGCCUUGUAGCGGGGGCUAACUAUUGUAAACGAUAGCUAAUACCGCAUAAUAUUAAUUAUUGCAUGAUAAUUAAUUGAAAGGUGCACUUGCACCACUACCAGAUGGACCUGCGUUGUAUUAGCUAGUAGGUGAGGUAACGGAUCACCUAGGCGACGAUACAUAGCCGACCUGAGAGGGUGGUCGGACACACAGGGACUGAGACAGGGACGAGACUCCUACGGGAGGCAGCAGGAGGGAAGCUUCGGCAAUGGACGAAAGUCUGACCGAGCAACGCCGCGUGAGUGAAGAAGGUUUUCGGAUGGUAAAGCUAUGUUGUAAGAGAAGAACGGGUGUGAGAGUGGAAAGUUCACACGGUGACGGUAUCUUACCAGAAAGGGACGGCUAACUACGUG
Molecule: ribosomal RNA, 505 nt
Filed under: uncultured bacterium
Lineage: Bacteria
Description: partial 16S ribosomal RNA
Rfam family: Bacterial small subunit ribosomal RNA
Source: RNAcentral